CAUGGCUCAGGACGAACGCUGGCGGCGUGCUUAACACAUGCAAGUCGAACGGAAAGGCCCGCCACCUUGGUGGUGGGUACUCGAGUGGCGAACGGGUGAGUAACACGUGGGUGAUCUGCCCCGCACUGUGGGAUAAGCCUGGGAAACUGGGUCUAAUACCACAUACGACCAUGACAUAGGGGUCAUGGUGGAAAGCUUUAUUGCGGUGUGGGAUGAGCCCGCGGCCUAUCAGCUUGUUGGUGGGGUAAUGGCCUACCAAGGCGGCGACGGGUAGCCGGCCUGAGAGGGUGGACGGCCACAUUGGGACUGAGACACGGCCCAGACUCCUACGG
RNAcentral lists this ribosomal RNA (332 nucleotides) under uncultured bacterium. RNAcentral's name for it is "bacterial SSU rRNA". It matches the Rfam family "Bacterial small subunit ribosomal RNA", at positions 18 to 344 of the family's 1533-position model. The record is from RNAcentral.